RNAcentral lists this ribosomal RNA (467 nucleotides) under uncultured bacterium. Its description in RNAcentral is "partial 16S ribosomal RNA". It matches the Rfam family "Bacterial small subunit ribosomal RNA", at positions 29 to 507 of the family's 1533-position model. The record is from RNAcentral.
ACGAACGCUGGCGGCGUGCUUAACACAUGCAAGUCGAACGGAAAGGCCCUGCUUUUGUGGGGUGCUCGCGUGGCGAACGGGUGAGUAACACGUGAGUAACCUGCCCUUGACUUUGGGAUAACUUCAGGAAACUGGGGCUAAUACCGGAUAGGAGCUCCUGCUGCAUGGUGGGGGUUGGAAAGUUUCGGCGGUUGGGGGUGGACUCGCGGCUUAUCAGCUUGUUGGUGGGGUAGUGGCUUACCAAGGCUUUGACGGGUAGCCGGCCUGAGAGGGUGACCGGCCACAUUGGGACUGAGAUACGGCCCAGACUCCUACGGGAGGCAGCAGUGGGGAAUAUUGCACAAUGGGCGGAAGCCUGAUGCAGCAACGCCGCGUGCGGGAUGACGGCCUUCGGGUUGUAAACCGCUUUCGCCUGUGACGAAGCGUGAGUGACGGUAAUGGGUAAAGAAGCACCGGCUAACUACGUG